This 335-nucleotide unclassified non-coding RNA is filed under the name soil metagenome. Its description in RNAcentral is "partial contains 5.8S ribosomal RNA, internal transcribed spacer 2, and large subunit ribosomal RNA". The stretch from base 1 to 119 matches the Rfam family "5.8S ribosomal RNA", at positions 36 to 154 of the family's 154-position model. The record is from RNAcentral.
AUGAAGAACGCAGCGAAAUGCGAUAAGUAAUGUGAAUUGCAGAAUUCCGUGAAUCAUCGAAUCUUUGAACGCACAUUGCGCCCCCUGGUAUUCCGGGGGGCAUGCCUGUCCGAGCGUCAUUGCAACCUUCAAGCGCGGCUUGUGUGUUGGGUCUCGUCCCCCGUGGACGGGCCCGAAAGGCAGUGGCGGCGUCCCGACAUGGUGCCCGAGCGUAUGGGAAUCCUCUUCCGCUCGAAUCGGCCCAUGCGGCGCUGGUCGUAACCAAAUUUUUUACCGGUUGACCUCGGAUCAGGUAGGGAUACCCGCUGAACUUAAGCAUAUCAAUAAGCGGAGGA